CGUAGGUGCUGCUUGUUGGGAGGUGUGUUUUGUCGUCUCAUAGAGGCGUGUUUGGUUAAUGUUUUCUAUACUACGAGUAUAUGAAAGAUAAGAAAUCUGUAUGGUUUUGAGAUUGAAGCUUAAAAAUUAAAUAGGAUAUAGUGUUCCAUUUUGUGAGGCAGGGUUCUUCCUGUACUAUCUUCAAUGAGUUUAGCUAUGUCCCUCCAGAAAUUUGUCAAAUGUGGGAAGUGUGAUCAUUCUGGUUCGUCAAAUGUUUUUUGUAACUGUUUUUCCCAAGCUUUAACAAAGCUGUAUUCUAGGUAGUACGGUGUAUAUAGAGGAAAUAAUUUUUUGGGGGGGUUUAGUGCCCACGUACAUUCUCUCGAAAUCUGUCAGCUGCCUCCCAGUGACAGAGAUGGAACCUGAUUGUAUUUGUGCGUUCAUCCAGGAGUUAAGUUGGCGGUAUGAGUAGUGUGCUAUCAUUGGUAGUUUGUGAGAGGAGUCAUUCGUUAAGGCUUUGUGGUUUGUGUCCCAGAUUGAUAACGUCAAACUAGUGGUUGGGAGGCAAACCGGGGUUUGUGGUCUUUUUU
Molecule: non-coding RNA, 569 nt
Organism: Pelobates cultripes (western spadefoot toad)
Lineage: Eukaryota; Metazoa; Chordata; Amphibia; Anura; Pelobatidae
Source: the annotation of a GenBank genome assembly